GGGCGCAAACCUGAUCCAGCAAUGCCGCGUGAGUGAAGAAGGCCUUCGGGUUGUAAAGCUCUUUCAGUCGAGAAGAAAAGGUUGUGACGAAUAAUCACAACUCAUGACGGUAUCGACAGAAGAAGCACCGGCUAACUACGUGCCAGCAGCCGCGGUAAUACGUAGGGUGCGAGCGUUAAUCGGAAUUACUGGGCGUAAAGGGUGCGCAGGCGGCUUUGUAAGUCAGAUGUGAAAUCCCCGGGCUUAACCUGGGAAUUGCGUUUGAAACUACAAAGCUAGAGU
RNAcentral lists this ribosomal RNA (282 nucleotides) under uncultured ammonia-oxidizing beta proteobacterium. Its description in RNAcentral is "partial 16S ribosomal RNA". It matches the Rfam family "Bacterial small subunit ribosomal RNA", at positions 373 to 647 of the family's 1533-position model. Lineage: Bacteria; Pseudomonadati; Pseudomonadota; Betaproteobacteria. The record is from RNAcentral.